GAUGAACGCUGACAGAAUGCUUAACACAUGCAAGUCAACUUGAACUUCGGUUUGGGUGGCGGACGGGUGAGUAACGCGUAAAGAACUUGCCUCACAGAUAGGGACAACAUUUGGAAACGAAUGCUAAUACCUGAUAUUAUGAUUUUAGGGCAUCCUAGGAUUAUGAAAGCUAUAUGCGCUGUGAGAGAGCUUUGCGUCCCAUUAGCUAGUUGGAGAGGUAACGGCCCACCAAGGCGAUGAUGGGUAGCCGGCCUGAGAGGGUGAUCGGCCACAAGGGGACUGAGACACGGCCCUUACUCCUACGGGAGGCAACAGUGGGGAAUAUUGGACAAUGGACCAAGAGUCUGAUCCAGCAAUUCUGUGUGCACGAUGAAGUUUUUCGGAAUGUAAAGUGCUUUCAGUUGGGAAGAAAAAAAUGACGGUACCAACAGAAGAAGUGACGGCUAAAUACGUG
RNAcentral lists this ribosomal RNA (454 nucleotides) under uncultured bacterium. RNAcentral describes it as "partial 16S ribosomal RNA". It matches the Rfam family "Bacterial small subunit ribosomal RNA", at positions 28 to 507 of the family's 1533-position model. The record is from RNAcentral.